AUUGAACGCUGGCGGCAUGCCUUACACAUGCAAGUCGAACGGCAGCACGGGUGCUUGCACCUGGUGGCGAGUGGCGAACGGGUGAGUAAUACAUCGGAACAUGUCCUGUAGUGGGGGAUAGCCCGGCGAAAGCCGGAUUAAUACCGCAUACGAAUUACGGAUGAAACCGGGGGACCUUCGGGCCUCGCGCUUUAGGGUUGGCUGAUGGCUGAUCAGCUAGUUGGUGGGGUAAAGGCCUACCAAGGCGACGAUCAGUAGCUGGUCUGAGAGGACGACCAGCCACACUGGGACUGAGACACGGCCCAGACUCCUACGGGAGGCAGCAGUGGGGAAUUUUAGACAAUGGGCGAAAGCCUGAUCGAGCAAUGCCGCGUGUGUGAAGAAGGCCUUCGGGUUGUAAAGCACUUUUGUCCGGAAAGAAAUCCUUGGCCCUAAUACGGUCGGGGGAUGACGGUACCGGAAGAAUAAGCACCGGCUAACUACGUG
This 486-nucleotide ribosomal RNA is filed under the name uncultured bacterium. RNAcentral describes it as "partial 16S ribosomal RNA". It matches the Rfam family "Bacterial small subunit ribosomal RNA", at positions 30 to 507 of the family's 1533-position model. The record is from RNAcentral.